UGAGAGUAACAGACUUAUAAAUGAAGUAUCGAUUUAACUUAUAACAUACUCUUGAUAAUUGCUUGUUAAUCAUCAAAAUAACACUAUCAUCCUCAAUCUCCCCCUUUUUGAUGAUUACAAAAUAAAGAGUAUGAGCCUAUUGAUACUUAUCUUAAAAUCAGUUUUAAAAGGGCUCAAGUUGCUGAAUUUCAGCUUUUCA
Molecule: long non-coding RNA, 199 nt
Filed under: Phoenix dactylifera (date palm)
Lineage: Eukaryota; Viridiplantae; Streptophyta; Magnoliopsida; Arecales; Arecaceae
Description: long non-coding RNA (PDAC_LNC009921)
Source: RNAcentral